This 247-nucleotide ribosomal RNA is filed under the name uncultured prokaryote. Its description in RNAcentral is "partial 16S ribosomal RNA". It matches the Rfam family "Bacterial small subunit ribosomal RNA", at positions 505 to 751 of the family's 1533-position model. The record is from RNAcentral.
GUGUCAGCCGCCGCGGUAAUACAGAGGGUGCAAGCGUUAAUCGGAAUUACUGGGCGUAAAGCGCGCGUAGGUGGUUUGUUAAGUUGGAUGUGAAAUCCCCGGGCUCAACCUGGGAACUGCAUCCAAAACUGGCAAGCUAGAGUAUGGUAGAGGGUGGUGGAAUUUCCUGUGUAGCGGUGAAAUGCGUAGAUAUAGGAAGGAACACCAGUGGCGAAGGCGACCACCUGGACUGAUACUGACACUGAGG